This 1358-nucleotide ribosomal RNA is filed under the name Escherichia coli. RNAcentral's name for it is "partial 23S ribosomal RNA". It matches the Rfam family "Bacterial large subunit ribosomal RNA", at positions 890 to 2230 of the family's 2925-position model. The record is from RNAcentral. Lineage: Bacteria; Pseudomonadati; Pseudomonadota; Gammaproteobacteria; Enterobacterales; Enterobacteriaceae.
UCAUCUCCGGGGGUAGAGCACUGUUUCGGCAAGGGGGUCAUCCCGACUUACCAACCCGAUGCAAACUGCGAAUACCGGAGAAUGUUAUCACGGGAGACACACGGCGGGUGCUAACGUCCGUCGUGAAGAGGGAAACAACCCAGACCGCCAGCUAAGGUCCCAAAGUCAUGGUUAAGUGGGAAACGAUGUGGGAAGGCCCAGACAGCCAGGAUGUUGGCUUAGAAGCAGCCAUCAUUUAAAGAAAGCGUAAUAGCUCACUGGUCGAGUCGGCCUGCGCGGAAGAUGUAACGGGGCUAAACCAUGCACCGAAGCUGCGGCAGCGACGCUUAUGCGUUGUUGGGUAGGGGAGCGUUCUGUAAGCCUGCGAAGGUGUGCUGUGAGGCAUGCUGGAGGUAUCAGAAGUGCGAAUGCUGACAUAAGUAACGAUAAAGCGGGUGAAAAGCCCGCUCGCCGGAAGACCAAGGGUUCCUGUCCAACGUUAAUCGGGGCAGGGUGAGUCGACCCCUAAGGCGAGGCCGAAAGGCGUAGUCGAUGGGAAACAGGUUAAUAUUCCUGUACUUGGUGUUACUGCGAAGGGGGGACGGAGAAGGCUAUGUUGGCCGGGCGACGGUUGUCCCGGUUUAAGCGUGUAGGCUGGUUUUCCAGGCAAAUCCGGAAAAUCAAGGCUGAGGCGUGAUGACGAGGCACUACGGUGCUGAAGCAACAAAUGCCCUGCUUCCAGGAAAAGCCUCUAAGCAUCAGGUAACAUCAAAUCGUACCCCAAACCGACACAGGUGGUCAGGUAGAGAAUACCAAGGCGCUUGAGAGAACUCGGGUGAAGGAACUAGGCAAAAUGGUGCCGUAACUUCGGGAGAAGGCACGCUGAUAUGUAGGUGAAGCGACUUGCUCGUGGAGCUGAAAUCAGUCGAAGAUACCAGCUGGCUGCAACUGUUUAUUAAAAACACAGCACUGUGCAAACACGAAAGUGGACGUAUACGGUGUGACGCCUGCCCGGUGCCGGAAGGUUAAUUGAUGGGGUCAGCGCAAGCGAAGCUCUUGAUCGAAGCCCCGGUAAACGGCGGCCGUAACUAUAACGGUCCUAAGGUAGCGAAAUUCCUUGUCGGGUAAGUUCCGACCUGCACGAAUGGCGUAAUGAUGGCCAGGCUGUCUCCACCCGAGACUCAGUGAAAUUGAACUCGCUGUGAAGAUGCAGUGUACCCGCGGCAAGACGGAAAGACCCCGUGAACCUUUACUAUAGCUUGACACUGAACAUUGAGCCUUGAUGUGUAGGAUAGGUGGGAGGCUUUGAAGUGUGGACGCCAGUCUGCAUGGAGCCGACCUUGAAAUACCACCCUUUAAUGUUUGAUGUUCUAACGUUG